CCUACGGGUGGCAGCAGUAGGGAAUCUUCGGCAAUGGGGGGAACCCUGACCGAGCAACGCCGCGUGAACGAAGAAGUUAUUCGUAUUGUAAAGUUCUUUUAACAGGGAAGAAAGAGAAAUUUGACGGUACCUGAAGAAUAAGCUCCGGCUAACUACGUGCAAGCAGCCGCGGUAAUACGUAGGGAGCGAGCGUUAUCCGGAAUUAUUGGGCGAAAAGGGUGCGUAGAUGGGAUAGUAAGUCUUUUGUAAAAAUGCUGGGCUCAACCCAGUAGGGCAAAAGAUACUGGAAAGCUAGAGUAUGACAGAGGCAAGCGGAACUACAUGUGUAGCGGUAAAAUGCGUAAAUAUAUGUAAGAACACCAGUGGCGAAGGCGGCUUGCUGGGUCGAUACUGACGUUGAGGCACGAAAGCGUGGGGAGCAAACAGGAUUAGAUACCCGAGUAGUC
This 446-nucleotide ribosomal RNA is filed under the name uncultured bacterium. RNAcentral's name for it is "partial 16S ribosomal RNA". It matches the Rfam family "Bacterial small subunit ribosomal RNA", at positions 338 to 795 of the family's 1533-position model. The record is from RNAcentral.